ACCGGAGUAAUGAUUAAGAGGGGACAGUCGGGGGCAUUCGUAUUUCAUUGUCAGAGGGUGAAAUUCUUGGAUUUAUGAAAGACGAACUUCUGCGAAAAGCUUUUGCCAAGGAUGUUUUUCAUUAAUCAAGAACGAAAGUUGGGGGCUCGAAGACGAUUAGAUACCGUCGUAGUCUUUAACCAUAAACUAUGCCCAACUAGGGAUCAUUGAGUGUCAAUCUACGACCCUCAUUGGGCACCUUGUGAGAAAUCAAAAGGUUUUUGGGGUUUCCGGGGGGGAGUAUGGGUCGCAAAGGGCUGAAAACUUUAAAAGGAAAUUGACGGGAAAGGGCACCCACCAGGGAGUGGGAGCCCUGCGGGCUUUAAUUUUGACUCAACACGGGGGAAACUUACCAGGGUCCAGACAUAGUCAGGAUGGGACAGAUUGAAAGCUCUUUCUUGAUUCUAUGGGUGGUGGUGCAUGGCCGUUCUUAGUUGGUGGAGUGAUUUGUCUGGUUAAUUCCGUUAACGAACGAGACCUCAGCCUGCUAACUAGCGAUGCCCAUUUUUAAUGGACAGCCCGCUUCUUAGAGGGACUAUUCGUGUUCAACGAAUGGAAGUUUGAGGCAAUAACAGGUCUGUGAAUGCCCUUAGAUGUUCUGGGCCCGCACGCGCGCUACACUGAAUGGAUGCAACGAGCUCUACCCUUGACCGAAAGGCCCGGGUAAACUUGUCAAAAUCCAUCGUGAUGGGGAUAGAUUAUUGCAAUUCUUGAUCUUCAACGAGGAAUUCCUAGUAAGCGCGAGUCAUCAGCUCGCGUUGAUUACGUCCCUGCCCUUUGUACACACCGCCCGUCGCUCCUACCGAUUGAAUGGUCCGGCGAAUUCUUCAGAUCACUGCGAGGCUAACCCCUCGCUGUGAGAAGUUGAUUAUCCUUAUCAUUAGAGGAA
This 928-nucleotide ribosomal RNA is filed under the name uncultured eukaryote. Its description in RNAcentral is "bacterial SSU rRNA". It matches the Rfam family "Eukaryotic small subunit ribosomal RNA", at positions 856 to 1781 of the family's 1831-position model. The record is from RNAcentral.